GAAACUAACAAGGAUUCCCCUAGUAGCGGCGAGCGAAGCGGGAAGAGCUCAAAUUUAUAAUCUGGCACCUUCGGUGUCCGAGUUGUAAUCUCUAGAAGUGUUUUCCGCGUUGGACCGCACACAAGUCUGUUGGAAUACAGCGGCAUAGUGGUGAAACCCCCGUAUAUGGUGCGGACGCCCAGCGCUUUGUGAUACACUUUCAAUGAGUCGAGUUGUUUGGGAAUGCAGCUCAAAUUGGGUGGUAAAUUCCAUCUAAAGCUAAAUAUUGGCGAGAGACCGAUAGCGAACAAGUACCGUGAGGGAAAGAUGAAAAGCACUUUGGAAAGAGAGUUAACAGUACGUGAAAUUGUUGGAAGGGAAACGCUUGAAGUCAGACUUGCUUGCCGGAGCUUGCUUCGGUUUGCAGGCCAGCAUCAGUUUUCCGGGGUGGAUAAUGACGGUUUGAAGGUAGCAGUCUCGGCUGUGUUAUAGCUUUCCGUUGGAUACAUCCUGGGGGACUGAGGAACGCAGCGUGCUUUUUGCGAAAGACUCGUCUUUUUCACGCUUAGG
Molecule: ribosomal RNA, 549 nt
Filed under: Rhodotorula graminis
Lineage: Eukaryota; Fungi; Basidiomycota; Microbotryomycetes; Sporidiobolales; Sporidiobolaceae
Description: eukaryotic LSU rRNA
Rfam family: Eukaryotic large subunit ribosomal RNA
Source: RNAcentral